Molecule: ribosomal RNA, 260 nt
Filed under: uncultured bacterium
Lineage: Bacteria
Description: partial 16S ribosomal RNA
Rfam family: Bacterial small subunit ribosomal RNA
Source: RNAcentral
UACGGGGGGGGGCAAGCGGUUGUUCGGAAUUACUGGGCGUAAAGGGGCGCGUAGGCGGUUUGCUAAGUCGAAUGUGAAAACUCUGGGCUUAACCCAGAGCCUGCAUUCGAUACUGGCAGGCUAGAGUUCUGGAGGGGAUAGCGGAAUUCCUGGUGUAGCGGUGAAAUUCGUAGAUAUUCGGCAAGAACACCAGUGGCGAAGGCGGCUCACUGGCCCGAUACGUGACGGCUGAGGCACGGAAAGCGUGGGGAGCAAACAGG